CCUUAGAGUUUGAUCCUGGCUCAAGACGACCUUUGGCGGCGUGCUUAACACAUGCAAGUCGAACGAAGUUGCUCUUUGGGAAGCCCUCGGGUGGAACUGUGAGUAUACUUAGUGGCGGACGGGUGAGUAACGCGUGAGCAAUCUGCCCUGCGGUGGGGGACAACAGUUGGAAACGACUGCUAAUACCGCAUAAGACCACGAAACCGCAUGGUUUAGAGGUAAAAGGAUUCAUUCGAUGCAGGAUGAGCUCGCGUCCCAUUAGAUAGUUGGUGAGGUAACGGCCCACCAAGUCAACGAUGGGUAGCCGACCUGAGAGGGUGAUCGGCCACAUUGGAACUGAGAAACGGUCCAAACUCCUACGGGAGGCAGCAGUGGGGAAUAUUGGGCAAUGGGGGAAACCCUGACCCACCAACGCCGCGAGAAGGAAGAAGGCCUUCGGGUUGUAAACUUUUGUCCUAUGGGACGAAAAAAAUGACGGUACCAUAGGAGGAAGCUCCGGCUAACUACGUGCCAGCAGCCGCGGUAAUACGUAGGGAGCAAGCGUUGUCCGGAAUUACUGGGCGUAAAGGGUGCGUAGGUGGCCAUGUAAGUCAGGUGUGAAAGACCGGGGCUCAACCCCGGGGUUGCACUUGAAACUGUGUGGCUUGAGUACAGGAGAGGGAAGUGGAAUUCCUAGUGUAGCGGUGAAAUGCGUAGAUAUUAGGAGGAACACCAGUGGCGAAGGCGACUUUCUGGACUGUAACUGACACUGAGGCACGAAAGCGUGGGGAGCAAACAGGAUUAGAUACCCUGGUAGUCCACGCCGUAA
RNAcentral lists this ribosomal RNA (808 nucleotides) under uncultured bacterium. RNAcentral describes it as "bacterial SSU rRNA". It matches the Rfam family "Bacterial small subunit ribosomal RNA", at positions 1 to 805 of the family's 1533-position model. The record is from RNAcentral.